CCUACGGGAGGCAGCAGUGGGGAAUAUUGGACAAUGGGCGAAAGCCUGAUCCAGCCAUGCCGCGUGUGUGAAGAAGGCCUUCGGGUUGUAAAGCACUUUCAGUGGGGAAGAAAGCCUUGGGGCUAAUACCCUCGAGGAAGGACAUCACCCACAGAAGAAGCACCGGCUAACUCCGUGCCAGCAGCCGCGGUAAUACGGAGGGUGCGAGCGUUAAUCGGAAUUACUGGGCGUAAAGCGCGCGUAGGCGGUCUGAUAAGCCGGUUGUGAAAGCCCCGGGCUCAACCUGGGAACGGCAUCCGGAACUGUCAGGCUAGAGUGCAGGAGAGGAAGGUAGAAUUCCCGGUGUAGCGGUGAAAUGCGUAGAGAUCGGGAGGAAUACCAGUGGCGAAGGCGGCCUUCUGGACUGACACUGACGCUGAGGUGCGAAAGCGUGGGUAGCAAACAGGAUUAGAUACCCGGGUGUC
Molecule: ribosomal RNA, 464 nt
Filed under: Vreelandella stevensii
Lineage: Bacteria; Pseudomonadati; Pseudomonadota; Gammaproteobacteria; Oceanospirillales; Halomonadaceae
Description: partial 16S ribosomal RNA
Rfam family: Bacterial small subunit ribosomal RNA
Source: RNAcentral